Long non-coding RNA from Nicotiana tabacum (common tobacco), 733 nucleotides. RefSeq lists it as uncharacterized. The record is from RefSeq and is a predicted model, not a curated record. NCBI's taxonomy places the organism in Eukaryota, Viridiplantae, Streptophyta, Magnoliopsida, Solanales, Solanaceae.
ACCUGCAGGUUUGUUUUUAUUCAAUUUUGCGAUAAAUUGCCAGUUACCAAAGCUAAAUAGUGCACUUCAUUGUACUCCAAAUUCGGCAGAAUUCACAUUUUCUGUUGAUUCCAAAUUUGAUCCCCAAAAUUCUUUAUUCUUUGCCAGUAGAACAAAAUUCCCACUUUCUGUUGUCCCAUUCCAACAUCGAUUCACAAAAUUGAAAAGAUAUUAUUGGGAAUUUGCUCUAUCAAUUAGUUUCAGCCCACGUGGAAAAUUUUGGCAAAGGAGAGAAGGCGGUGGGAUAAUUGCCUGGGUCGCUAUGGAAUUAUUCAAAUAGGGAUUCCAACAUGAUACUUCUCCUAAGGUAAGUGCACUAUUUUCAUGUUCGUCGUCUCAGUUGGUUUCUGUUACUGUACUUAAUUCCUCUGUAAUUCAAUUUAGAGAGUUAAGUGUAUUUUCUUGCAAUUUAUGGUAAAUUCUAUCUAUGGUGGCGUUAGUAAAUUAUCAGAUAGUAAAACGGAAAUAUUCUCUUUUUAUUAUCCCCAUAUGUAUUCUUUUUAUUGUGUUCAGAAUAUUAUUUCUGUUAACUUGAGUCGAAAGAUGAAUACUGAAGCUUGAUGUUAUGCUGAGUGCUUAGAUGCUUUCUCCGCUAUCGCUGGCUUGGAUUAGCAGGUUGGAUUUCUUAUUUUAUUUUACUUAGGAAUGUGUAUAAAACUGUAGAAUAUUGGUUGUGAAAUCAGAAAUUUAUUCA